UGCUUUCGAGUAAUCACGCCAUUAGUAUAUACACAAGCAACCUCCAUUGGACGCAUGUUCAGCCAAUCCCUUCCAGCGCCAUGGUAUUUUCUUGGUUUAUUGCCUUACGAUCGAAAAUAUUCUUCAUCUCUUCCACAAUUUCAAUGAAUUCAGCCGUUUCUGGAGGUGUUUUGAGUGGAACGAGAAGGUAAAUUGGAUUGGAUGUUCUUGUGAUGAGUGUUAAAAUUUAUGCGAGUUUUCUCCUAUCUCGUUAAUCAACUUUCACUCGUCUUGAAGAACAAAAUUGGCGAUUUCGGCAUUUCAUAGCUUUGAUCGGCCAUUGUAGAAGGAUUGCAGGAAAAUGAUGUACAUUAAGAGGGUGUUCGGGUUACAGGGUGGUUUUGUUCGGCGUACGAUGGAGAGGUAAGCCUAUAUAUGAUAUGUUGGCCUAUUUAUCAUAUAUUAUAAAUUUGUUAAUCUUACAGGCUAUAUAUACUCGGGAGUCAGGUAUCGACUAUUCACUAAUUUUUGCACUUCACCACUCUGGUCGUCUCUAAUCCGUGAGCCAAGUACUAGAUGU
Molecule: long non-coding RNA, 559 nt
Organism: Cucurbita moschata (crookneck pumpkin)
Lineage: Eukaryota; Viridiplantae; Streptophyta; Magnoliopsida; Cucurbitales; Cucurbitaceae
Exons: 3
Source: RefSeq, a predicted model, not a curated record